RNAcentral lists this ribosomal RNA (492 nucleotides) under uncultured bacterium. RNAcentral describes it as "partial 16S ribosomal RNA". It matches the Rfam family "Bacterial small subunit ribosomal RNA", at positions 30 to 507 of the family's 1533-position model. The record is from RNAcentral.
AUUGAACGCUGGCGGCAUGCUUUACACAUGCAAGUCGAACGGUAACAGGCCUUCGGGUGCUGACGAGUGGCGAACGGGUGAGUAAUGCAUCGGAACGUGCCCAGAGGUGGGGGAUAACGCAGCGAAAGCUGUGCUAAUACCGCAUGUGAUCUGAGGAUGAAAGCGGGGGACCAGGCAGCAAUGUUUGGCCUCGCGCCUUUGGACCGGCCGAUGUCAGAUUAGGUAGUUGGUGGGGUAAAGGCCUACCAAGCCGACGAUCUGUAGCUGGUCUGAGAGGACGACCAGCCACACUGGGACUGAGACACGGCCCAGACUCCUACGGGAGGCAGCAGUGGGGAAUUGUGGACAAUGGGCGCAAGCCUGAUCCAGCAAUGCCGCGUGCGGGAAGAAGGCCUUCGGGUUGUAAACCGCUUUUGUACGGAACGAAAAGGCUCUGGCUAAUACCUGGGGCUGAUGACGGUACCGUAAGAAUAAGCACCGGCUAACUACGUG